GAUUAUAUUUUGAAACCGAAACCGAAAAUUUGUACUUUUGGAAACCAAAACUGAAAAACUAUACCUCUUUUGUUUUCGGUCUGGUUUUGGUCCAUUUUUGAGUGUUUCGGUAAUUUUUGUACACCCCUACUUUUGGCAUCCGUCCACUACUCUUGCAACUAUGGAACAAAAGAAGUUCUUAGUAGACCGUUAGUGGCCUCAUGUAUCUUCUCUUUGCUUAAGUCCUCUAAUUUAAUCUUUUCUCUAACGAAAGGAAGGAGUUGCAUAAAGGAUUAGUCUGUUUUAUAAUCUUACUUUUUGUAGUUUAUAUAAUUUCUUUUUUAAAGUCUAUCAUGAUUUCAUUUUUUUUCCUUUGACAAGCAUUGCUCUAUUUUGGAAAAUUCAUAUGGAUCUCAGUUUUAAUGACAUCAAAUGCUUUGAUCAAGUUCGUGUGAGCCUUAGAUACACUAAGCUCUUAUCCAUUUUUGGUACAUUGAAUGGAAUGGAAUGGGAGGAAAAAUUACGUAAUGAAUAUUGAUGCAAAAAUUAGCCUAGGUAGGACUUCGAUCCUUGCACCAAUAGUCGUUCGGCAUCCAUACACUACCCUUGCAAUUAUGGAACAAAAGAAGAGCUUAGGAGACCCUCGGUGGCCUCAGGAUUUGAAGAUGAGGAAGAUGAUUGGUGGAGGGCGUGAAGCUAGUGGACUCUUUUACUUGAGUCGAUAUCUCCUUCUACUGCUUGCACUAUUGCUACCACACCUUUCCAAUUCAUUGUUGCUUGGGUCAUCCUUUAUUGGAAAAUUUAAACUAUCUUGUUCCUAGUUUGAGUUUUGUGGGCACUUGUUAGUUGGAAAAGCACCAUUGUGUUUCUAUCACUUUUUCAAGUCAAUAAACAGGUUGCAAGCCCUUUUAUGUUAGUUCAUUCAAAUGUAUGGGGUCCUAGUAGGGUUGUGUCUAAGUUGGAUUUCCAAUACUUUGUAACAUUUAUGGAUGAUUAUUCAAAAAUGACUUGGUUAUAUUUAAUAAAAUAUCGCUUUGAGUCA
Malania oleifera is the source of this 1021-nucleotide long non-coding RNA. RefSeq lists it as uncharacterized. The transcript has 2 exons. The record is from RefSeq and is a predicted model, not a curated record. Lineage: Eukaryota; Viridiplantae; Streptophyta; Magnoliopsida; Santalales; Ximeniaceae.